GAUGAAGAACGCAGCGAAAUGCGAUAAGUAAUGUGAAUUGCAGAAUUCAGUGAAUCAUCGAAUCUUUGAACGCAUCUUGCGCUCCUUGGUAUUCCGAGGAGCAUGCCUGUUUGAGUGUCAUUAAAUUCUCAACUCUCUGAAACUAUUUUGUAAAGGAGAGCUUGGAUUGUGGAGGCUUGCUGGCCACUUAUUGGGGGUCAGCUCCUCUGAAAUGCAUUAGCGGAACCGUUUGCGAUCUGCCACAAGUGUGAUAAAUUAUCUACACUGACGAGGGGGAUUGCUCUCUGGGUUGUUCAGCUUCUAAUUGUCCCUGUUUCAGAGACAACUUCUUGAAUGCUUGACCUCAAAUCAGGUAGGACUACCCGCUGAACUUAAGCAUAUCAAUAAGCGGAGGA
This 395-nucleotide unclassified non-coding RNA is filed under the name soil metagenome. Its description in RNAcentral is "partial contains 5.8S ribosomal RNA, internal transcribed spacer 2, and large subunit ribosomal RNA". The stretch from base 1 to 120 matches the Rfam family "5.8S ribosomal RNA", at positions 35 to 154 of the family's 154-position model. The record is from RNAcentral.